CGAGAGAGAUGAUGUCAAGUCUAUCCAAAAAGGCCCCGGUUGUCCUCAUGCCUUAAUAGUAGGGUGGCGUUUAUUUGAGAAAGAGCAUCGGAUGCCGAGGUGAUGAGCAUCUUCGCGAAGCAGGGGGCACGUCUCAAUCUACAUGUCGAAAAUGCUAAUAUUUCUUCUGACUCUCAGAACUUCGCCGCGAAAGUCAAGAGUUCACUAUUGAGCGAGCAUUUUUCGUCACUCGAUGCCGAAGAAACUUUACACAAGCUUGAAAAAUUACGACAGAGGAGUGGGUGAGCGCUUCAGGACCUUCAUGCAGAGGCAUGCCCAUCGAUGCCGCGAAAAACCUGGUCUCUACUCACGGCUGUGGAUCAUACAUCUCUUGCUACUUAGGAGGUACGGAAGGGAUGAUCUUUCAUGUUGAAGAAGUGCUUCAUCUGUAUUUGGCGAAGCCAAAGCUACAGGUCACUUCAGAGUCAUGUACGAACAACAAGCGGCGCAGGAAGGACCGAACAAGUUAUUAUAGAAAAGAUCGGAAAGAGACUCGGAUCUGUUUACAAGUGUGUCGAUAAUUUUUGCUUGCCACGUAUGUAGCAGAAAAGAGCGUAUCUUACCUGGAUUGUUUGACAGGUAACACAGUGACUCAAUUUAGCCUUGUCCAUUGUGCAAAGGUAUGCCAAACCGUUUUUUUUGGCUAGAGAAGCAUCUUUAUCGAACGCCUCUAAAUGUUAUUACUAUAUAGCCUGUUGCAAAUUUUCUUUGUUACCUAAAAUGCUAAUUUUUGAAGAUUAGGUAGAAGAAAAGG
Varroa destructor (honeybee mite) is the source of this 793-nucleotide long non-coding RNA. RefSeq lists it as uncharacterized. The record is from RefSeq and is a predicted model, not a curated record. Lineage: Eukaryota; Metazoa; Arthropoda; Arachnida; Mesostigmata; Varroidae.